UACGUAGGGUGCAAGCGUUAAUCGGAAUUACUGGGCGUAAAGCGUGCGCAGGCGGUGAUGUAAGACAGAUGUGAAAUCCCCGGGCUCAACCUGGGAACUGCAUUUGUGACUGCAUCACUGGAGUGCGGCAGAGGGGGAUGGAAUUCCGCGUGUAGCAGUGAAAUGCGUAGAUAUGCGGAGGAACACCGAUGGCGAAGGCAAUCCCCUGGGCCUGCACUGACGCUCAUGCACGAAAGCGUGGGGAGCAAACAGG
This 253-nucleotide ribosomal RNA is filed under the name uncultured bacterium. Its description in RNAcentral is "partial 16S ribosomal RNA". It matches the Rfam family "Bacterial small subunit ribosomal RNA", at positions 524 to 776 of the family's 1533-position model. The record is from RNAcentral.